This 370-nucleotide long non-coding RNA is filed under the name Daucus carota (carrot). RNAcentral describes it as "long non-coding RNA (DCAR_LNC002752)". Lineage: Eukaryota; Viridiplantae; Streptophyta; Magnoliopsida; Apiales; Apiaceae. The record is from RNAcentral.
CUAAUUCAAACACAGUUACGGAUAGCCCAAGGAGAUUUGGGGGAGAAAAACCCUAACCCGGCGAUUACUCAAGAACCACCUCAUCGCAGCGAGACUAACUAAGAUUCGGCACCAUCUAAGAGGUAUGAACUCAUUUCCUUCCGUAUUAACAUAUAUGUGUGUGUUUUGCUUGUUUGAUUGAUGUGUGUUGCACUUUAAUUUGUUGAAUCGCAUGUAUACUGAGUCGUAUGUAUAUGUUUAGUUUAAUUUAUGUGUUAUUGUAAUGUCACAGUAUGGAUUCGUUGGCUAGUUUGUUUGUGCACUACCAUGGGGAUCUGUUGUAUGAACCCUAGAUUCAAUACAAAGGUGGAGUAGUAGAUGUAAUUCCUGG